CCAUUUGCAUGAAAUAUCAUUUUCUUUUUUAAAUUUUUUUUUGAGAGAGAGAGAGAGAGAAUUUUAAUAUUUAUUUUUUAGUUUUUGGUGGACACAACAUCUUUGUUUGUAUGUGGUGCUGAGGAUUGAACCCGGGCUGCACGCAUGGAGGCGAGCGCGCUACCACUUGAGCCACAUCCCCAGCCCAAAAUAUCUUUUUCUAUCUCUGUUUUCAGUCUAUGCAUGCUAAAGGUAAAGUGAGCUUCUUGUAAGGAGCAUAUAUGUGGUUCUUGUUUUUAAAUCCAUUCGCCACUCUAUGCUUUUUGAUUGCAGAAUUUAAUCAAUAGACAUUUUGGUUGUUUAGUUUGAAUUUAAUCAAUUUGCAUUCAAGGUAUUUAUUGAUAUGUAGGGAUUUACAACUGCCAUUUUGUUAAUUGUUUUCUGGUUGUUUUGUAACUCCUUUGAUCCUCUCUGUCUUGCUGUCUUCCUUUGUGAUUAGAUAAUUUUAUCUAGUGGUAUGCUUUUUUUACUUUUUUAAAAAUAUCUACCAUAGGUUUUCACUUUGUGGUUUUCUUGAAGCUUACAUAAAACAUAUUACAGUUAUUAGCAGACUAUUUAAGCUCUUAACAACUUCAAUCUCAUACAAAAAUUUUAAAUUUUGCCUCGUGCAUUUUGUGUUUGAUAUUAAAAUUUAUAUAUUUUAUAUUGGCUAUCCCUCAAUGAACUAUCACAGCUAUAAUUAGAAUAAUUUUUUCUUUACCUUCAUACUAACUAUAUAAAUAACUUAUAUAACACCUUUACAGUAUUAGAGUUCUAUAGAUUUGAUUAUGUACUAGCUUUUCUACUUUAUAAACAACAGAGGUUUCCUUAGCUUAUAGUUCUAGAGGCUAAAAAGUCCAAGUGGCACCGUUAUCUGAUCAGGAGCUGGUGAAGACCUUAUUGCUGGGAGACCAGGGAGAAGGUAUGAAAUGGCAAGACAAAGUAGAUACUCAGGUAUCUUCUUAUCUUCUAAUAAAACCAUAGUCCUGUUGGACUAGGGUCCUACCUUAUGGCCCAAUUUAACAUUAAUUGCCUCCCAAAAGUCCCACCUCCAAAUGCCAUGGUUGGAUCAAGUUUCUACCCAUGUAAUACCUCAUAAUGGGAUUAAAUUUCAACAUGAGUUUAGUGGGAACAUUGAAACCAUAGCAAACUCCCUCAACUUUUAUUUUUCUGGGAAAGUAGUGAUCUCUUCUUCAUUUCUGAAGGGUACAUUUUCUGAGCAUUUUUCAUUGGUAGGGUUUUUUGUUUGUAUUUUAUUUUUGUUUGUUUUUGUUUUGCUUUCAGCACUUUGGAUAUUAUACCUGGAUAUUUAUCUUCCCCUGGAU
Molecule: long non-coding RNA, 1343 nt
Filed under: Marmota monax (woodchuck)
Lineage: Eukaryota; Metazoa; Chordata; Mammalia; Rodentia; Sciuridae
Source: RNAcentral